GAUCANCCGUACUCCGAAUGCCUCUAGAUUAAAGUUUGAUCAUGGGCUCAGACUGAACGCUUGUCUGUGACAAGCCUAACACAUGCAAGUCGAACGGUAGCACAGAGAGCUUGCUCUCGGGUGACGAGUGGCGGACGGGUGAGUAAUGUCUGGGAAACUGCCUGAUGGAGGGGGAUAACUACUGGAAACGGUAGCUAAUACCGCAUAACGUCUCCGGACCAAAGUGGGGGACCUUCGGGCCUCAUGCCAUCAGAUGUGCCCAGAUGGGAUUAGCUAGUAGUGGGGUAACGGCUCACCUAGUGCGACGAUCCCUAGCUGGUCUGAGAGGAUGACCAGCCACACUGGAACUGAGACACGGUCCAGACUCCUACGGGAGUGCAGCAGUGGGGAAUAUUUGCACAAUGGGCGCAAGCCUGAUGCAGCCAUGCCGCGUGUAUGAAGAAGGCCUUCGGGUUGUAAAGUACUUUCAGCGAGGAGNGAAGGCGGUAAGUGUUAAUAACCUUAUCGAUUGACGUUACUCGCAGAAGAAGCACCGGCUAACUCCGUGCCAGCAGCCGCGGUAAUACGGAGGGGUGCAAGCGUUAUUCGGNNUUACUGNGGNCGUUUAGGCNCACNCGGGNGGUCUGGUCCAGGUUCGNGUUUUAAAUUCCCCCGGGGCUCCAACCCUGNGGACUUUGGCUUUCGAAACUUGGCACGGCUNAGUNUUUGUUCNACGCGGGGUCUCACACUUCCACGCUUUCCGGGNAAAUGCGUUAGACNCUCUGGCGGCAACCNGGUGNGNAAGGNGUNGCCCCCUGACAAAUGGGGUCGUNNAAUGUGUCUGUGNUNGCCGGGUGUUAUUNCNCGUUGACUGCCGACAAUAGUGUGUUUGUUGUCCCUCGGUGGGCCCUCUGUAUUUAUNUCCGGGGGCGUCCGGGAAUAAUUUGGNUCCNGGCGGGUUUAUAUC
This 946-nucleotide ribosomal RNA is filed under the name uncultured bacterium. RNAcentral describes it as "partial 16S ribosomal RNA". The stretch from base 24 to 645 matches the Rfam family "Bacterial small subunit ribosomal RNA". The record is from RNAcentral.